Molecule: RNA transcript, 2535 nt
Organism: Eriocheir sinensis (Chinese mitten crab)
Lineage: Eukaryota; Metazoa; Arthropoda; Malacostraca; Decapoda; Varunidae
Gene name: proline-rich protein 36-like
Exons: 5
Source: RefSeq, a predicted model, not a curated record
GUAUAAGAGAGAGACCCAUUGAUACGAAUCUCAAUCAAUAGUCUCCAUCAUUUGUUUCCUCUCUCCUUCCUUUUUUUCCGUUCUGCCUUCUGCUAGCACCGGCAGGCUUUCUUGGCGGGACCUGGUGGUCUGUCCCAACCUGUUAUGGCGCAGGCAAGUGUUUAAAGUGGCGCCAUUUUGCUUGGCUCUUGCUGCCCCACGGGGUUCACCGUAGCUCCUCUUUUAGGGAGAAUCUAGAGUCCGGGUUGAUGAGUGGUCUUUAGGACAGCAUGUGGGUAGUCUGUGGCCACUCGGCGGUGACUGAAAAAUUGCCAGCUUUUGUAGCGGCGGGCAGGGAGCGAACCCGGGUCCCCGUGAACGCCGCGCCCAAAGACUAACCACUCAGCCACCGCCUCCCACAGCUGGUCAUAGUGUUGGCGUGUGUGUGGGUGACGGUGUCCGGCCUGGCUGUCACGCACCCCAAGCCGCCCUCGCUAGACCUCUCCGCCUUCGAUAUCAAGAACCUGCUAGAUAUAAGUCUGCCAGCCUUCGUGACCCAGACCCUCACCACGACUGUCAUUGAGACGGUAUCCACAGACGCCACAGAGUUCACCACCUGCGUCAGCUUCACUUCGACAUGCGCCACUCGAAGACAUCUCACCCAGCGCACCGAAAUCACUCCCUCCCUUCACCUUACCACAACCCUAGCCAACCCUAUUACCAACACCAUCCUUGAAAACUCACAUGAAGCGUCGCUCUCCCCAACCAUUCCUGAGGUGUGGGUGGGUUCCGAGGCGCCUGCUCUUGAUUCCUCACUCCCUGCCCCACCCUCAGUGUCCCAUAUACCUGAGGAGACACUAGCCAUGGACACUGAGUUAAUAGGAACAACAGAUACGGAUAUAGUUGGGCUGCUCUCUCCCUCUGCGACCAUCAGUGCUUCUUCCACCCCUCCGAGUGCUGUCUUUACUCAUGCACCUCUGCCUCCUUCUUCUUCUGGUCUUCUUCUGUCUUCCUCCUCCUCCUCUCCGAUACUCAGUGAAGCUAUUGCACGGACUCUUCUCUCACCUGCUUCUUCUUUCUCUGCUGCUCCUCCUCCUCUUCCAACUUCUUUCUCUGCUUCUCCCCUUCCUCCAGCUUCCUUCUCCUCUCCCUCUCGUCUUCCUCCUUCAGCCCCAUCUCCAGCAUCCUUCUCUCCCUCUCCUCUUCCUCCUUCAGCCCCAUCUCCAGCAUCCUUCUCUCCCUCUCCUCUUCCUCCAGCAUCCUUCUCUCCUCUCCUUCCUUCACUCCCCUCCCCAGCCUCCCCUCCUUCUCCUCCUCCUUCUCUCCCCCUUGCUCCACGCUCCCUACAAGCUCUCUCUCCUUCACCUCCAUCCCCUCCUUCCUAUCCUCUCUCCCCAUCUCCUUCCCCAGCUUCCCUCCCUUCCCCUACCCCUCCCCCAGCCUCCCUCCCAUCCCCAGCCCCAGCAGCCCCCCCCGCUAAAGAGGAGAUGCCCCAGGACGGAGACUUCAUCAUCCCUGCCUCGGCCGUCACCUUGGAGACAGAGGGCGGGCAGAGGGUCCACCGGCGCUGCUUUGAGGAAGGAGUUCAAGCCCGCCUCCUGACCCUCAUCACCACCACCGUCACCUCCACCGUCAUCACCGGCACCGUGACGCAGGGCAGCCCCACCCUCACCGUCACCUACAACUGUGUGCAGCCCGUCCUCGACCCGCCCAUCAACACGUGUUAGGCUCGCGCGAUGGACAUGGUGAAUACUUGUUUUGUUAGUCUCCUUUAAUGUAAGCUUUGCCACCAUGUAGAACUGUUAAUACUACUCUUGACCCUUCCCUUCUUCCCUACUUCCUUCCUUCCUCAGAGUUUAGACAGCGAAUAUAAAUAACGAUAAGUUAGACAUGUAUUUCCAAGCUUGCAUUUAGAGUGUAUCAAAUGUGUGUGAUUUUAAUGGUAUAGUUAUUGUUGUUAAUCCUUGUUGCUGAUCCAUCUGAAGACCAUGUUUGAGAAGGUAUACAUAUAAAUAAAUGAUUGUGGCUGCGAUGAAAAAAGGUUAAUGAGAAGAGAAACUAUCCUUCUUACUACUCCUUCAUUGUACUUGGCCAGACUAACUUGUAAGUUUAAGAACAUAUAAUACUAAGUGAAAAAGUGAAAUAAAUAAAGACAGUGAACAGAUGCAUGUCUUAACUGCUUGUGGGAAAAAAAAAAAAAAGCUUAGUGUAAAUACAUGGUCUGGUGAGCCAAGAAAAUUUGCGUCACCUCUCUCAGGGUAAAAUAAAACUAGAAAAGUUUGCAUUUUAAGUUGAAUAAUCUUCCUGCAUUCACAUCCCUGACUCCCUCCAUCAGCCCACAAAAGGAUGUUAGCCCUUUCAAUACAAGCUAAUCUUUCUUUGGUCAUUUUAGAUUUUCAAAGAUUAAGUUGUGUUGGUAAGUCAGUGUACGAAUUGCCCAAAUAUUUCAUAGCACAGGAGCAGAGACAGGAAUUGAAGAAGUAAAGGAAGGAAGGAAGGAAAGGAGGGAGAUGGAUAUGGAGUGAAAGGAUAAUUAGAUGUUUAUUUCUCUUUAAU